Molecule: ribosomal RNA, 60 nt
Filed under: uncultured bacterium
Lineage: Bacteria
Description: partial 16S ribosomal RNA
Source: RNAcentral
GGCGGACGGUACCCCACAUUGGGACUGAGACACGGCCCAAACUCCUACGGGAGGCAGCAG